This 247-nucleotide long non-coding RNA is filed under the name Capsicum annuum. RNAcentral describes it as "long non-coding RNA (CANN_LNC006195)". The record is from RNAcentral. Lineage: Eukaryota; Viridiplantae; Streptophyta; Magnoliopsida; Solanales; Solanaceae.
UUCACCUAUCGAAGGAACAUCUAUCAAAGUAUUUUUUUGAAUUGGACCUUUUAAUUAUUUUAUUUAAUUUAAAUUCUAUCUUAAUUUAUAUAUUAAUUUUAUUGACGACAUCAUACAAUAAUUCAUUGGAUCAAAUAUUUUAUAGCAUUUAAAUAUUGUACUUUGUAGAAAAAUGGUUAGCCAAUAUAUGUGUAAUUGAGAAAAAAUAAUGAAGUUAAUUCAACAUAAGGCAAAAAAUUAAUUUAUA